CCUACGGGAGGCAGCAGUGAGGAAUAUUGGUCAAUGGACGCAAGUCUGAACCAGCCAUGCCGCGUGCAGGAAGACGGCUCUAUGAGUUGUAAACUGCUUUUGUACGAGGGUAAACGCAGAUACGCGUAUCUGUCUGAAAGUAUCGUACUAAUAAGGAUCGGCUAACUCCGUGCCAGCAGCCGCGGUAAUACGGAGGAUUCAAGCGUUAUCCGGAUUUAUUGGGUUUAAAGGGUGCGUAGGCGGUCGGAUAAGUUAGAAGUGAAAUCCCGAGGCUCAACUUCGGCAUUGCCUCUGAUACUGUUAGGCUAGAGAGUAGUUGCGGUAGGCGGAAUGUAUGGUGUAGCGGUGAAAUGCUUAGAGAUCAUACAGAACACCGAUUGCGAAGGCAGCUUACCAAGCUACUUCUGACGUUGAGGCACGAAAGCGUGGGGAGCAAACAGGAUUAGAUACCCGGGUAGUC
Molecule: ribosomal RNA, 460 nt
Filed under: uncultured bacterium
Lineage: Bacteria
Description: partial 16S ribosomal RNA
Rfam family: Bacterial small subunit ribosomal RNA
Source: RNAcentral